RNAcentral lists this long non-coding RNA (385 nucleotides) under Bos indicus x Bos taurus (hybrid cattle). Its description in RNAcentral is "lncRNA (ENSBIXG00000014755.1)". Lineage: Eukaryota; Metazoa; Chordata; Mammalia; Artiodactyla; Bovidae. The record is from RNAcentral.
CCCGUGUCUCCUGCAUUGGCAGGUGGAUUCUUUACCAUUGAGUCACCAGGGAAGCCCCUGACCUUGUCCUUUUGUCUUUUUCUCUCCCUUCUUCUCAGGCCAAGGAUUUACCUACCACUCUUCUCUGAAUCAGAGGUCUUCUGCAUGGCUGGCAUUCACCAAAGACAAGGCAGCAGCUGGAGAUCAGGACUAGUUCCAAGAAUUAGAAAAAAAACACAAACAGAAAGACAGAAAACCCCCAAAACUUCAAGCCAUGUGGGUGAGUACAAUUUGCAGAAAAACAUUUCCAAAAUAAUGUAGCCAAUACAGGUCAUGUUUUAAACCUCAGAUAUCUGAGCAAAUAUCUAAAUAACACCUGUAAAGUUCUCCUGCUUGGUAACACCUU